UGUAAGCGUAUACCAAAGUUGUUGCAGUUAAAACGCUCGUAGUCGGAAUUUGGCAGUUCCGGAUGUGUGCACGUCGUGUGCGCGCUUCGCGGGGAUUGCUUUUGUGGUCUUGCGUAGGAUGAGGCACUUUUAUUAGUGAACGUCCUCACGCAACCACUUUUUACUGUGAGAAAAUCAGAGUGCUCAAAGCAGGCAUUUGCCGUGAAUGUAUUAGCAUGGAAUAAUAGAAUAGGACUUGGUUCUAUUUUGUUGGUUUGUUGGGACUGAGUAAUGAUUAAGAGGGACAGUUGGGGCAUUUGUAUUUCGGUGCUAGAGGUGAAAUUCUUAGAUUACCGAAAGACAAACUGCUGCGAAAGCGUCUGCCAAGGAUGUUUUCAUUGA
This 381-nucleotide ribosomal RNA is filed under the name uncultured eukaryote. RNAcentral's name for it is "partial 18S ribosomal RNA". It matches the Rfam family "Eukaryotic small subunit ribosomal RNA", at positions 592 to 976 of the family's 1831-position model. The record is from RNAcentral.